UACAUGAUCGAAAAAAAAUUUCAUUUCAAACGUCCAGUCACGAACCUGAAUACGGACAACCUAGUCAUAGCGAAGUGAAUGAGUCAUCGGUGUGCAACUCGCGUAGUGGAUAAUUUUACCCCACGUGCGCAACACCCCCCUCGGCUCUCCUCCUUUUAGUUCUCUCCUUUUGACUAAUCAACACCUUCCUUCAUUUCUUCCCCAAUUUCAUUACCCUCCAAAAUUUAUAAAACCCUAAAUCCAAUUCCUACUCCAAUUUCCUCUCUGAAACCAUGUCAAUCAUCCCUGAAGAAGAAAUCACCAAAUCCUCCUCCUCCUCCGAUUUCACACAACCUCAACUCAAGCUCUCCGCUCCUCCCUGGGAAUUCUCCAGCCGCAGAUGCUCCGCCCGGAUCGCCGCCCCAGAUCUCGACGAAUCCGCCUCACCUUCCCCCUCCUCCGCCGCCGCCGAGAUCCACCUCCCCAACCCCAACCAAACAUGGCUCCGCCUCUGCGGCUGCUCCUUCGCCCUCCUCCUCAAUGCCGCCCUGCUCUUUCUCC
RNAcentral lists this long non-coding RNA (540 nucleotides) under Linum usitatissimum (flax). RNAcentral describes it as "long non-coding RNA (LUSI_LNC005518)". Lineage: Eukaryota; Viridiplantae; Streptophyta; Magnoliopsida; Malpighiales; Linaceae. The record is from RNAcentral.